This 230-nucleotide long non-coding RNA is filed under the name Vigna radiata. Its description in RNAcentral is "long non-coding RNA (VRAD_LNC012850)". Lineage: Eukaryota; Viridiplantae; Streptophyta; Magnoliopsida; Fabales; Fabaceae. The record is from RNAcentral.
GCUUUUGUAAAUAUGUGUGCAUCUUGUCUCUUACAGUUUUAUUGUGAAAAGUGAAAAGAAAAAAGAGGCAAGAUGAGGAAAAAGAAAGAAAAAAAAAAGAAAAUAAAAGAAAACAAAAUUGUGAAUAAUGGAGUCAAGAAGAGGAUUGAAUUAGAGGUUUUGGGUGUGAGUUGAUUGUGUUUACACUUGUUCCCCAUUGGUCCUCUAUUUCUUUUGGUUUGUAACUUCUC